Molecule: ribosomal RNA, 253 nt
Filed under: uncultured bacterium
Lineage: Bacteria
Description: partial 16S ribosomal RNA
Rfam family: Bacterial small subunit ribosomal RNA
Source: RNAcentral
UACGGGGGGGGCAAGCGUUGUUCGGAAUUACUGGGCGUAAAGGGUUCGUAGGUGGCUUGCUAAGUCAGACGUGAAAUCCCUCAGCUUAACUGGGGAACUGCGUCUGAUACUGGCGAGCUUGAGUGCAAGAGAGGAACGCGGAAUUCCAGGUGUAGCGGUGAAAUGCGUAGAUAUCUGGAGGAACACCGGUGGCGAAGGCGGCGUUCUGGACUGCAACUGACACUGAUGAACGAAAGCCAGGGGAGCAAACGGG